CGACACUCCGGAGAAUUCCAUCGUCAUAUGACAGAUGGAUGCCGAAGGUGCAAGCGCAGAUCGCGUCAAUCUCUCAGGCAAAAGGACGGAGAA
Molecule: non-coding RNA, 93 nt
Filed under: uncultured Ruminococcus sp.
Lineage: Bacteria; Bacillati; Bacillota; Clostridia; Eubacteriales; Oscillospiraceae
Description: Glycine riboswitch
Rfam family: Glycine riboswitch aptamer
About the family: This family represents the bacterial glycine riboswitch. Glycine riboswitches usually consist of two metabolite-binding aptamers domains with similar structures in tandem. The aptamers cooperatively bind glycine to regulate the expression of downstream genes.
Source: RNAcentral